Molecule: ribosomal RNA, 510 nt
Filed under: uncultured bacterium
Lineage: Bacteria
Description: partial 16S ribosomal RNA
Rfam family: Bacterial small subunit ribosomal RNA
Source: RNAcentral
GACGAACGCUGGCGGCGUGCUUAACACAUGCAAGUCGAACGAAGAGCGAUGGAAGCUUGCUUCUCUCAAUCUUAGUGGCGAACGGGUGAGUAACGCGUAAUCAACCUGCCCUUCAGAGGGGGACAACAGUUGGAAACGACUGCUAAUACCGCAUACGAUCUAAUCUCGGCAUCGAGGAUAGAUGAAAGGUGGCCUCUACAUGUAAGCUAUCACUGAAGGAGGGGAUUGCGUCUGAUUAGCUAGUUGGAGGGGUAACGGCCCACCAAGGCGAUGAUCAGUAGCCGGUCUGAGAGGAUGAACGGCCACAUUGGGACUGAGACACGGCCCAGACUCCUACGGGAGGCAGCAGUGGGGAAUCUUCCGCAAUGGACGAAAGUCUGACGGAGCAACGCCGCGUGAGUGAUGACGGCCUUCGGGUUGUAAAGCUCGGUUAAUCGGGACGAAAGGCCUUCUUGCGAAUAGUGAGAAGGAUUGACGGUACCGGAAUAGAAAGCCACGGCUAACUACGUG